CACACACGCAACUGCCAACCCCUUUGCGAACUGUACCACUGUCCCCACCCGGCCCCGGUCCCUCCUUCAUUUAUUCUUCUCAUCUUGGGAAUAAUAAUAUGGAUGUGAGGGACUUGCCGGGUCCCCACCCUCAUCGGAUGGCGCAAUGCAUCAACCCCUUCGAAAUUGACUGAGUGUACCUGCGACGAGGACCCCCGAGUCCGAGUUGUCGAGUGAUCAAAAACACGAAAACAACUCUCAGCAACGGAUAUCUUGGCUCCUGCAACGAUGAAGAACGCAGCGAAAUGCGAUACGUAGUGUGAAUUGCAGAAUUCCGCGAAUCAUCGAGUCUUUGAACGCAAGUUGCGCCCGAGGCUUGCCCUCGGGCAUUUCUGUCAGAGCGUCACCGCGACACCCACCGACCCCCCACCCCCCUCUUUAAAAAGGGGUGCUUGGGCGGGCCGAGUGGAACUGGCCGUCCCAGAAUUUUCCCGCCGCUUCGCGGCCAGGGGGACUGGGUCGGCUGAAAUGGAUGGAAUCCGCCCCGCCGCGCCGAAACAGCCAGCGAUCAGGUGAUCAUCCCUCCCCCUUUUGGAAAGGAGGGGGAGGGAGGGAGUGUGUUGGUUGGCCUGCGUCGUGGAAAAGGGGACUUGGAUUCCGAACAAGCAGGCAGGCCCCUUUCAUCUGAUGAAUGGGGGUCGUCACGCAUCAGACCUCUGAUCAGGAAAGACUACCCGCUGAGUUUAAG
RNAcentral lists this ribosomal RNA (727 nucleotides) under Schistidium cf. cupulare EMB-2018. RNAcentral describes it as "eukaryotic LSU rRNA". The stretch from base 233 to 385 matches the Rfam family "5.8S ribosomal RNA". The record is from RNAcentral. Lineage: Eukaryota; Viridiplantae; Streptophyta; Bryopsida; Grimmiales; Grimmiaceae.